AUUGAACGCUGGCGGCAUGCCUUACACAUGCAAGUCGAACGGCAGCACGGGAGCUUGCUCCUGGUGGCGAGUGGCGAACGGGUGAGUAAUACAUCGGAACGUACCCUGAAGUGGGGGAUAACGUAGCGAAAGUUACGCUAAUACCGCAUAUUCUGUGAGCAGGAAAGAGGGGGAUCGCAAGACCUCUUGCUUUAGGAGCGGCCGAUGUCGGAUUAGCUAGUUGGUGAGGUAAAGGCUCACCAAGGCGACGAUCCGUAGCGGGUCUGAGAGGAUGAUCCGCACACUGGGACUGAGACACGGCCCAGACUCCUACGGGAGGCAGCAGUGGGGAAUUUUGGACAAUGGGCGCAAGCCUGAUCCAGCCAUGCCGCGUGAGUGAAGAAGGCCUUC
RNAcentral lists this ribosomal RNA (390 nucleotides) under uncultured bacterium. RNAcentral describes it as "bacterial SSU rRNA". It matches the Rfam family "Bacterial small subunit ribosomal RNA", at positions 30 to 419 of the family's 1533-position model. The record is from RNAcentral.